This 490-nucleotide ribosomal RNA is filed under the name uncultured bacterium. Its description in RNAcentral is "partial 16S ribosomal RNA". It matches the Rfam family "Bacterial small subunit ribosomal RNA", at positions 29 to 507 of the family's 1533-position model. The record is from RNAcentral.
AGUGAACGCUGGCGGUAGGCCUAACACAUGCAAGUCGAACGGCAGCACAGUAAGAGCUUGCUCUUACGGGUGGCGAGUGGCGGACGGGUGAGGAAUACAUCGGAAUCUACUUUUUCGUGGGGGAUAACGUAGGGAAACUUACGCUAAUACCGCAUACGACCUACGGGUGAAAGCAGGGGAUCUUCGGACCUUGCGCGAUUGAAUGAGCCGAUGUCGGAUUAGCUAGUUGGCGGGGUAAAGGCACACCAAGGCGACGAUCCGUAGCUGGUCUGAGAGGGUGCACCCACACACUGGAACUGACACACGGCCCAGACCCACACGGGAGGCAGGAGUGGGGUAUAGUGGACUAUGGGCGAAAGCCUGAUACAGCCAUACCGCGUGGGUGAAGAAGGCCUUCGGGUUGUAGCCCUUUUGUUGGGAAAGAAAAGCAGCAGGUUAAUACCCCGCUGUUCUGACGGUACCCAAAGAAUAAGCACCGGCUAACUUCGUG